UUGGCCCAACAGGCAGGGCUCACAAGGAAACCCCAUGCGAGCAUGCGGCAAUCUCUUUGUGUGCCGUGUGAUGCCGAAUAGGAUAGGAGGGCUCAUGAUCGGCUGCCGCAUGGCCCGUUUCGGUGGAAAAAACUAUAGCGGCUGGCUGAGCCCUUACCGUUAUGGCCAGCUGAACAAGCCAGAUUGCCUGAAGGGAACCGACUAAACCGAAUUCAUGCACAAGCCUACUAAAUACCAUCGACAUCCAGAAACAUAUAUCACUUUCUACCAGGAUAGUAAGUAAAUAAUUAAAUAAAUAUAAAUAGGUCUCUUAUUUUUAUAUUUGGGAAGAGUGCAAAGAGCUUAUUGUUGGGAGAGACCAUUGCAGAUUUGCCAAUCUCAAACUUCUACUUUUUUGUCACAUUUCCUUAAAACAAAUCACUGGAAUAUCUUCAGGUCUAUGUGGCAUAACAUAAACAUAUUAAUUAGUAUGUCAAGAUUCUUCACGUAUGGAAAAUAUUUAGUGCUACUCGAUAGAAAAGCAGAGCUCACUUGUGCAAAUCGCUGAAAUGACAAAUUCUGAGAACAUGUAUUACUGUUGUAGAAGAACUUUACUGCACUUGAUAUUGUAGGGGACGAGCUAAUUACCUGAAAAUCCAGCUGCACUAUCUUCCCGAGAGACACAGAGGAUCUAUGAAGACCCUCAGAUUCUUUUCAUACAUACCACGGCUGAAGGAACUGUCAUCAUCCUUUGAUAUCGACAAAAAUAUACUGUUGUGCAUAUUAAGCUAUUUACUAUUUUUAUGAAUUAUCUUUUGAUUUAUGUUUCAUGUCAUUUGAAAACAAAUAAAAUGCCAUCCAUAGGAAAACGGCUGCCUUGGUAUUAAAUAGGAUUAUACUUUGUAUUAGCGGAGUUCACCCCCCAAAGGUUAUCUAAUUUGCAUAUUGCAAUAUGCAAAUAAGGUAAUAGGCAUAUUUCAUAAAAAACUAGAAUUCUGGAAAUGAGUUAACUUACCAAUCUCUUAAUAACUCUCAGCAAAAGUUUCUGAUCUUUCACUUCGGUUUUCAGGUGCAGUACUUCAACGAAGCUGUCCAAGUUUUCAGGAGACAUACUAUCCAUGUUGUCCCCACCAUACAGUUGAACUAACAAUGAUAAACACUGUGAUGCAUUUUCAUAUAUUUCAGUGUCUUCACUGGGAAGCUAAAAAUAAAACAAGGAAACACAGUCGUUAACAUUGCAGAAUUCAGUGUGAUGGCUUUUUGGAUUCGGUAACAGGCACUUUACUUAAUCUCAUCAGAUGCUUGAUCUCAUUUUCUCUUGGUAAAAAGAGGCAAUGCAUGUUGCAAAGUUUUUAGAAAGAGGCUCUGUCAAACGGUGAAAUAAGUGUCAUAAAAUGUGUUUUUGUCAACUACAUAUUUUGCAUGUAGCACAAAUUGUAUUGUGACUUGCUCACUGGCAAACAAAAGAGGGGUAACAUAUAAAUAGUAAUAGUUCUUAAAAAAGCGCACAUGAUGCAUCAGUCUUCCGAAUAUUGGCAUGGAAGACUGUCAGGAAAUGACUGCCUUGAGUUCCACAAUAGAAGAAAGAUGGAAUAUAAAUGUUAAUUAGUGCACUUGAGAGACUGACAGACAUCGUGGUGUGCUGGUUUGGAUGUUGGACUAUGAUUGUGGAAAUACCUCAACUCAACCCUGGAAAUCCACUGUAUGACAUUGGGUCAAAAAAAGGUAGGGAACCACUGUUUUAGAUAUAUAUGUUCUUUUUUCCCAAACUAAACUAACUAAAUAAAAUCAAGAAUCCCCAAUAACACUACUUAUAUUUAUUGAAAAUAGAGUAGAGUCUGGCUUAUCCAAUGUUCUAUAUGAUCCAACGCAAUCUGACUUUUAGUAGUCAAUGUUUUUGUAGUCAAUGUUUUUAAUAUAUUGCAAUGCUUGGGUGCUAAAUUCGUAAAUACGAGGGUUGAAUGAAAAGUAAUGCCUCCACCUUCGUAACUCCUCAACAGAUGGCAGUACUGGUAUGCGGCAGGUACUGGUUUGUUCAGUAGACUCUCCUCUACAGUUCCAUUUGGUGGGAAGCCUUAGCAUUGAACGGCUAUGUUGUUAAAGUGCGAAGUAUGGAAACCUGCGCAGACGGUCAGUCAAUGUGACUUAAGCAACAUGCAGUCAUUGAAUUCUUGACAGCAGAAGGUGUCAUGCCAAAGGAGAUUAAUCAGAGAAUGCAAGCUGUUUAUGGUGAUUGUGUUGAUGUGAGUACUCUGUGUCGUUGGGCGAGUAAGUUUAAAGAUGUUCAGGUGGGAACAUCUGACUUGCGUAGCAAACAGAGUUGGACGUCCUGUGACAGCAACCAUCGAGUUUCACAAGCAAAAAGUUGACAGAUUGAUUCAGGACAAUCGUCGUAUCACUCAGAGAGAAUUUUUAAGCAUAAUCGGCAUUUCACAAGAACGUGUGGGUCACAUUAUUGCUUUGCUUGGCUAUCGGAAGAUCUGUGCACAAUGGGUACUGUGAGACGUUGGUUGCAGAAACAGAGUGCCGACUUCUUCCGUGACGGCUUCAGAAAACUUGUUCAUUGUUGGCAGAAAUGUAUCCAAUUGUCUGGUGAUUAUGUGGAAAAGCGAAUUGUGGUAGUUAAAGAGCACAUUCUAAGGAUAAUUUCUGCAUUUGAUUUAUUAAAAUAUUCCCAUCCAAACCCAAGUAAUGAAGAUGGAGACAUUACUUUUCAUUCAACCUUCGAACUAUAUAAUGUUACCAUGUAUUGAACUGCUUUUUCUGUCGAUUUGUUGUAAAACAUGAUGUUUUGGUGCUUAAUUUGUAAAAUCAUAAUGUAAUUUGGUGUUUAAUAGGCUUUUCCUUAAUCCCUCCUUAUUAUCCAAUAUUUUCGCUUAUCUAACGUUCUGCCGACCUGUUUAUGUUGGAUAAGUGAGACUGUAUUGUAUAGUAAAUUUCUGUAUCAUUCCCCUGAAUAUUCUUGGCAUUCCACUGUUUAUACAUUUUCAUUUUCUACAUCUGUGCCUAUGAAAAUACUGCAGAGAUUGUGUUUAAACUGAAUGUACUUUAUUGUGCUAGACUAAGACUAUUAGAACUUCAGCAUGUCUACACCAUCCACGAAUCUUAGAAAACAAACUCAUUUGCAUAAUGUGUACAAAAUGCAGAAUUGAUAUUUUGUUUCAAUAAAGAAUUUCACUUGUU
Molecule: long non-coding RNA, 3162 nt
Organism: Anolis carolinensis (green anole)
Lineage: Eukaryota; Metazoa; Chordata; Lepidosauria; Squamata; Anolidae
Exons: 3
Source: RefSeq, a predicted model, not a curated record